CUACAUCUAGAUCCAUACCCCUAAACUCCCUGGAUCUAUGGGAUAGCCUGAGCGCUAUCCCAUUUUUAU
Molecule: small RNA, 69 nt
Filed under: Bacillus oleivorans
Lineage: Bacteria; Bacillati; Bacillota; Bacilli; Caryophanales; Bacillaceae
Description: Listeria sRNA sbrA
Rfam family: Listeria sRNA sbrA
Source: RNAcentral